This is a long non-coding RNA of Oncorhynchus tshawytscha (Chinook salmon), 876 nucleotides long. The record is from Ensembl. NCBI's taxonomy places the organism in Eukaryota, Metazoa, Chordata, Actinopteri, Salmoniformes, Salmonidae.
UCUAUAAUUAGACUAGUUACAUUAACAUAAUAUCAGAUGGAUAAAGACACAAUCUAUAAUUAGACUAGUUACAUUAACAUAAUAUCAGAUGGAUAAAGACAUGACACAAUCUAUAAUUAGACUAGUUACAUUAACAUAAUAUCAGAUGGAUAAAGACACAAUCUAUAAUUAGACUAGUUACAUUAACAUAAUAUCAGAUGGAUAAAGACAAGACACAAUCUAUAAUUAGACUAGUUACAUUAACAUAAUAUCAGAUGGAUAAAGACACAAUCUAUAAUUAGACUAGUUACAUUAACAUAAUAUCAGAUGGAUAAAGACACAAUCUAUAAUUAGGCUAGUUACAUUAACAUAAUAUCAGAUGGAUAAAGACAUAAUCUAUAAUUAGACUAGUUACAUUAACAUAAUAUCAGAUGGAUAAAGACACAAUCUAUAAUUAGACUAGUUACAUUAACAUAAUAUCAGAUGGAUAAAGACAAGACACAAUCUAUAAUUAGACUAGUUACAUUAACAUAAUAUCAGAUGGAUAAAGACAAGACACAAUCUAUAAUUAGACUAGUUACAUUAACAUAAUAUCAGAUGGAUGAAGACAAGACACAAUCUAUAAUUGGGCUAGUUACAUUAAGAGUAAACUAAAUAUCAGAUGGAUAAAGACAAGACACAAUCUAUAAUUAGACUAGUUACAUUAACAUAAUAUCAGAUGGAUAAAGACAUGACACAAUCUAUAAUUAGGCUAGUUACAUUAACAUAAUAUCAGAUGGAUAAAGACACAAUCUAUAAUUAGGCUAGUUACAUUAACAUAAUAUCAGAUGGAUAAAGACAAGACACAAUCUAUAAUUAGGCUAGUUACAUUAACAUAAUAUCAGAUGGAUAAAGACA